AAGGAUAUAGCUCAGUGGUAGAGUGCGUGCUUAGCAUGCAUGAGGUAGUGGGUUUAAUCCCCAGUAACUUCA
This 72-nucleotide transfer RNA is filed under the name Camelus bactrianus (Bactrian camel). It matches the Rfam family "tRNA". Rfam says of the family: Transfer RNA (tRNA) molecules are approximately 80 nucleotides in length. Their secondary structure includes four short double-helical elements and three loops (D, anti-codon, and T loops). RNAcentral also lists the same sequence under 1 other name. The record is from Rfam by way of RNAcentral. Lineage: Eukaryota; Metazoa; Chordata; Mammalia; Artiodactyla; Camelidae.